AACGAACGCUGGCGGCAUGCCUAACACAUGCAAGUCGAACGAGACCUUCGGGUCUAGUGGCGCACGGGUGCGUAACGCGUGGGAGCCUGCCCUUAGGUUCGGAAUAACUCCCCGAAAGGGGUGCUAAUACCGGAUAAUGUCUUCGGACCAAAGAUUUAUCGCCUUUGGAUGGGCCCGCGUUGGAUUAGCUAGUUGGUAGGGUAAAAGCCUACCAAGGCGACGAUCCAUAGCUGGUCUGAGAGGAUGAUCAGCCACACUGGGACUGAGACACGGCCCAGACUCCUACGGGAGGCAGCAGUGGGGAAUAUUGGACAAUGGGCGAAAGCCUGAUCCAGCAAUGCCGCGUGAGUGAUGAAGGCCUUAGGGUUGUAAAGCUCUUUUACCCGGGAUGAUAAUGACAGUACCGGGAGAAUAAGCACCGGCUAACUCCGUG
This 433-nucleotide ribosomal RNA is filed under the name uncultured bacterium. RNAcentral's name for it is "partial 16S ribosomal RNA". It matches the Rfam family "Bacterial small subunit ribosomal RNA", at positions 29 to 507 of the family's 1533-position model. The record is from RNAcentral.